Molecule: non-coding RNA, 940 nt
Filed under: Caecilia gracilis (graceful caecilian)
Lineage: Eukaryota; Metazoa; Chordata; Amphibia; Gymnophiona; Caeciliidae
Description: 12S ribosomal RNA
Rfam family: Bacterial small subunit ribosomal RNA
Source: RNAcentral
CUAAAAGUUCAGUCCUAACUUUGCUAUUAGUUUUAACUAGACUUACACAUGCAAGUCUCAGCCCCCCCGUGACAACGCCUGCACAAAGAGCCGAUAUCAGGCACAACAUACGUUAGCCCACUACAUCUAGCCCAGCCACACCCCCAAGGGCAUGCAGCAGCGAUUAACCUUAAUAAUAAGCGCAAGCUUGACUUAGUCAUAGUUAAAAGAGUUGGUAAAUCCUGUGCCAGCCACCGCGGUUAAACAAGAAACCCAAACUAAUAAACACGGCGUAAAGUGUGAUCAAGAAAACAAUCAAUCUUUCCUAGGACUAAAAACUUACCCAGCUGUAAUACGCCUUAGUAGCAUAACACGCACAACAGCGAAAGCGACCCUAGUACCAACGACUAUCCCUAUAUCACGAUCGCUAAGACACAAACUGGGAUUAGAUACCCCACUAUGCUUAGCCGUAAAACUUGACCAUUACCCCCUCAUCUGCCAGAGUACUACGAGCGCCAGCUUAAAACUCAAAGGACUUGGCGGUGCCCCAAACCCACCCAGAGGAGCCUGUUCUAUAAUCGAUACCCCACGUUUUACCUCACCACCUUUUGCAAUCAGCCUAUAUACCACCGUCGCCAGCCAACCUCCUGAGAGACCUAAAAUUAGCAAAAUUGUACUCCACAAACACGUCAGGUCAAGGUGUAGCACAUAGGGUGGCAAGAAAUGGGCUACAUUUUCUCCUAGAAGAGACCACGAAUAAUAAAAUGAAAAAUAAUUUGAAGGCGGAUUUGGCAGUAAGAAGAAACCACUAAGUUCUUCUUAAUUUGGCUCUGAGGCGCGCACACACCGCCCGUCACCCCUCUCAUCAAUGAUUAAACCACUAUAAAUAAUAACAAAGCUAAACCUUAGAUGAGGAAAGUCGUAACAUGGUAAGCGCACUGGAAAGUGCUCUUGGAUUAAC